GUGCUCGCUUCAACAGCACUUAUACUAAAAUUGGAACGAUACACAGAAGAUUAGCAUGGCCUCUGCACAAGGAUGGCAUAGAAAUUACUGAAGUGUUCCAUAUUAAA
This is a small nuclear RNA of Cricetulus griseus (Chinese hamster), 107 nucleotides long. Lineage: Eukaryota; Metazoa; Chordata; Mammalia; Rodentia; Cricetidae. The record is from Ensembl.